UAAAGACUGACUAAGCAUGUAGUACCGAGGAUGUAGGAAUUUCGGACGCGGGUUCAACUCCCGCCAGCUCCACCA
This 75-nucleotide transfer-messenger RNA is filed under the name Escherichia coli. Its description in RNAcentral is "partial transfer-messenger RNA". It matches the Rfam family "transfer-messenger RNA", at positions 296 to 374 of the family's 374-position model. From Rfam's summary of the family: Bacterial tmRNA, also known as 10Sa RNA or SsrA, is named for its dual tRNA and mRNA-like properties. RNAcentral also lists the same sequence under 8 other names. Lineage: Bacteria; Pseudomonadati; Pseudomonadota; Gammaproteobacteria; Enterobacterales; Enterobacteriaceae. The record is from RNAcentral.